RNAcentral lists this ribosomal RNA (430 nucleotides) under Pseudomonadota bacterium. Its description in RNAcentral is "Proteobacteria bacterium partial 16S ribosomal RNA". It matches the Rfam family "Bacterial small subunit ribosomal RNA", at positions 355 to 776 of the family's 1533-position model. Lineage: Bacteria; Pseudomonadati; Pseudomonadota. The record is from RNAcentral.
UGGGGAAUAUUGGACAAUGGGGGGAACCCUGAUCCAGCCAUGCCGCGUGUGUGAAGAAGGCCUUAUGGUUGUAAAGCACUUUAAGCGAGGAGGAGGGUACUGGUAUUAAUACUACCAGCUACUGGACGUUACUCGCAGAAUAAGCACCGGCUAACUCUGUGCCAGCAGCCGCGGUAAUACAGAGGGUGCGAGCGUUAAUCGGAUUUACUGGGCGUAAAGCGUGCGUAGGCGGCUAAUUGAGUCGGAUGUGAAAUCCCCGAGCUUAACUUGGGAAUUGCAUUCGAUACUGGUUAGCUAGAGUGCGGGAGAGGAUGGUAGAAUUCCAGGUGUAGCGGAGAAAUGCGUAGAGAUCUGGAGGAAUACCGAUGGCGAAGGCAGCCAUCUGGCCUAACACUGACGCUAAGGUACGAAAGCAUGGGGAGCAAACAGG